AAAAACUGCAUUCCACCGACGACGAAACAGACAGUACUUGCGCACAUCCAACUAAUUUGCAAGACGUAUCGCGCAGCAAGCCGGGAAGAGAACAGUGAAGAGGGGGAGUACGGAAACUUCGGCAUAUUUCUUCUAAAAUAACCAAGGCACUUUAUGAUUGUAACAUAUAUGGUGAG
Molecule: long non-coding RNA, 176 nt
Organism: Lingula anatina
Lineage: Eukaryota; Metazoa; Brachiopoda; Lingulata; Lingulida; Lingulidae
Source: RefSeq, a predicted model, not a curated record